Non-coding RNA from Paramuricea clavata, 92 nucleotides. The record is from the annotation of a GenBank genome assembly. Lineage: Eukaryota; Metazoa; Cnidaria; Anthozoa; Malacalcyonacea; Plexauridae.
CAGAAAAGAGGCGGUCAUUUCAAUUUCUGGUACCAGUAAAUACUCAGGGUACCAAAAAUUUAAAGGACCGUCCCUUUUCUGUAUUUACCUCU